RNAcentral lists this ribosomal RNA (399 nucleotides) under uncultured bacterium. RNAcentral's name for it is "bacterial SSU rRNA". It matches the Rfam family "Bacterial small subunit ribosomal RNA", at positions 359 to 776 of the family's 1533-position model. The record is from RNAcentral.
GAAUAUUGCACAAUGGAGGAAACUCUGAUGCAGCGACGCCGCGUGAGUGAUGAAGGUUUUCGGAUCGUAAAGCUCUGUCCUAAGGGAAGAUAAUGACGGUACCUUAGGAGGAAGCCCCGGCUAACUACGUGCCAGCAGCCGCGGUAAUACGUAGGGGGCGAGCGUUAUCCGGAUUUAUUGGGCGUAAAGGGUACGCAGGCGGCUAUAUAAGUCAGGUGUGAAAGGCAGUGGCUCAACCACUGCAAGCACUUGAAACUGUAUAGCUUGAGUACUGGAGAGGAAAGUGGAAUUCCUAGUGUAGCGGUGAAAUGCGUAGAUAUUAGGAGGAACACCAGUGGCGAAGGCGACUUUCUGGACAGAUACUGACGCUGAGGUACGAAAGCGUGGGGAGCAAACAGG